AACGCACAUUGCACCUUUUGGUAUUCCAUGAGGUAUACAUGUUCGAGCGUCGUUGCAAAUAUAAGACCUUGUCUUGCGUUGACGCGUUCGGGUGAAGCCGAAGCGUUGAAAAGGAUUGGCGCACGUGUCUCGUGACGAACCCAAUGACCUGGGACAGUCGAGAGAAACGGGCCGCAGACUCCCAAGUCUAAACCUUAAUCAAACGUUCGACCUCGAAUCAUGUAGGAUUACCCGCUGAACUUAA
Molecule: unclassified non-coding RNA, 244 nt
Filed under: uncultured fungus
Lineage: Eukaryota; Fungi
Description: partial contains 5.8S ribosomal RNA, internal transcribed spacer 2, and large subunit ribosomal RNA
Source: RNAcentral